AUUGAACGCUGGCGGCAUGCCUUACACAUGCAAGUCGAACGGCAGCACGGGUGCUUGCACCUGGUGGCGAGUGGCGAACGGGUGAGUAAUACAUCGGAACGUACCUUAUCGUGGGGGAUAACGCAGCGAAAGCUGUGCUAAUACCGCAUACGCCCUGAGGGGGAAAGCGGGGGAUCGCAAGACCUCGCGCGAUUAGAGCGGCCGAUGCCUGAUUAGCUUGUUGGUGGGGUAAAAGCCCACCAAGGCGACGAUCAGUAGCUGGUCUGAGAGGAGGAUCAGCCACACUGGGACUGAGACACGGCCCAGACUCCUACGGGAGGCAGCAGUGGGGAAUUUUGGACAAUGGGGGCAACCCUGAUCCAGCAAUGCCGCGUGAGUGAAAAAGGCCUUCGGGUUGUAAAGCUCUUUUGUCAGGGAAGAAACACCGGCUCUAACACAGUCCGGGAAUGACGGUACCUGAAGAAUAAGCACCGGCUAACUACGUGCCAGCCGCCGCCGUAA
This 501-nucleotide ribosomal RNA is filed under the name uncultured bacterium. RNAcentral describes it as "partial 16S ribosomal RNA". It matches the Rfam family "Bacterial small subunit ribosomal RNA", at positions 29 to 523 of the family's 1533-position model. The record is from RNAcentral.